RNAcentral lists this ribosomal RNA (1019 nucleotides) under uncultured archaeon. RNAcentral's name for it is "bacterial SSU rRNA". It matches the Rfam family "Archaeal small subunit ribosomal RNA", at positions 39 to 1012 of the family's 1478-position model. The record is from RNAcentral.
UCUCGUAUCUAAGCCAUGCAAGUCGAGGGGGCUUCGCAAGAAGUCACCGGCGAAAUGCUCAGUAACACGUCAAUAAUCUGCCUUAUGGUGGAGGAUAAUCUCGGGAAACUGAGUCUAAUACUCCAUAGAAGAUUAUAACUGGAAUGUUUUUUCUUUGAAAACUACGGUGCCAUAGGAUGAGUUGGUGGCUGAUUAGGUAGUUGGUGAGGUAAAGUAUCUCUUAAGGAGAUAAUUAAAAGUCCUUGGAGUUUUAUAUGCUCACCAAGCCUCAGAUCAGUACGGGCCUUGAGAGAGGUAGCCCGGAGAAGGACACUGAGAUAAGGGUCCUAGCCCUAAGGGGUGCAGCAGGCGGGAAACCUUUACACUACACGAAAGUGUGAUAAGGGGAUCCUAAGUGCUCGCUUUCGAGUGAGCUUUUAUCAAGUGUAAAAAUCUUGAAGAAUAAGUGGUGGGAAAGACCGGUGCCAGCAGCCGCGGUAACCCCGGCGCCACAAGUGGCAAUCAUAUUUAUUGGGUCUAAAGCGUUUGUAGCCGAUCUAUUAAGUCUUUUGUUAAAUUGUUAUGCUUAACAUAACAGCCGCAAAGGAUACUGGUAGGUUAGGGAUCGGGAGGAGACAGAAGUACUCUUUGGGUAGCGGUAAAAUGUGAUAAUCCUUAGAGGACUACCUAUGGCGAAAGCAUCUGUCUAGAACGAAUCCGACGGUGAGGAACGAAAGCCAGGGGAGCAAAAGGGAUUAGAUACCCCUGUAGUCCUGGCCAUAAACUCUGCGAACUAUGUGUUGCAUAUUCCUCGAGAAUGUGCAGUGUCGGAGCGAAGAUGUUAAGUUCGCCACCUGGGAAGUACGAUCGCAAGAUUGAAACUUAAAGGAAUUGGCGGGGGCGCGCUACAAGGAGAGGAACGUGCGGUUUAAUCUGAUUCUACACCGAGAACCUCACCAGAAACGACGGCAGAAUGAAGGUCAGAUUGAAGGUUUUACCUGACAAGCCGAGAGGUGGUGCAUGGCCAGAGCAUAAGUGGU